This 254-nucleotide ribosomal RNA is filed under the name uncultured bacterium. RNAcentral's name for it is "partial 16S ribosomal RNA". It matches the Rfam family "Bacterial small subunit ribosomal RNA", at positions 524 to 776 of the family's 1533-position model. The record is from RNAcentral.
UACAGAGGUCCCAAGCGUUGUUCGGAUUCACUGGGCGUAAAGGGUGCGUAGGUGGUGAGGUAAGUCGGAUGUGAAAGCUCGGAGCUCAACUCCGAAAUGGCAUUGGAAACUACCUUGCUCGAGGGUUGGGGAGGGGGACUGGAAUGCUUGGUGUAGCAGUGAAAUGCGUAGAUAUCAAGCGGAACACCAGUGGCGAAGGCGAGUCCCUGGACAACUCCUGACACUGAGGCACGAAAGCUAGGGGAGCAAACAGG